UAGACAGCUAGGAUGUUGGCUUGGAAGCAGCCAUUCAUUUAAAGAGUGCGUAACAGCUCACUAGUCGAGCGAUCGAGCAUGGAUAAUAAUCGGGCAUAAAUAUACCACCGAAGCUAUGAGAUGUAUUCAAUACAUCGGUAGGGGAGCAUUCCAACGAAGUAGAAUCUGUAGCGUGAGCUAUGGUGGAUUUUUUGGAAAAGCAAAUGUAGGCAUAAGUAACGAUAAAGGAGGUGAGAAACCUCCUCGCCGAUAGACUAAGGAUUCCUGAUCAACGCUAAUCGGAUCAGGGUAAGUCGGGACCUAAGGCGUACCCGAAGGGGGAAGUCGAUGGACAACAGGUUAAUAUUCCUGUACCAACUAUACAAUAAAAGUGACGGAGAAACGAUUCUGCUAGGUGCAGACGGAAUAGCACGUUGAGCCUAGGCUACGGCCGAAGCGAAGCAGAUACCUUUCUUCCAAGAAAAGCGAGUAUAGUUGCCCGUACCGUAAACCGACACAGGUAGUCAAGGAGAGCAUCCUGAGGCGCUCGAGUGAUUCGCGGCUAAGGAACUAGGCAAAAUUACCCCGUAACUUUGGGAUAAGGGGAACCUAAAUCAAAUUAGGUCGCAGAGAAAUGAUCCAGGCGACUGUUUAUCAAAAACACAGGGCUCUGCUAAAUCGAAAGAUGACGUAUAGGGCAAGCCCCAGUAAACGGCGGCCGUAACUAUAACGGUCCUAAGGUAGCGAAAUUCCUUGUCGGGUAAGUUCCGACCUGCACGAAUGGUGUAACGAUCUGGAUACUGUCUCGGCCGCGAGCUCGGUGAAAUUGAAGUAACGGUGAAGAUGCCGUUUACCCGCAACGGGACGGAAAGACCCCGUGAACCUUUACUGCAACUUCGCAUUGACUCUGUGUAAGUAAUGUGUAGGAUAGGUCGGAGACGAUGAUCUUGCUUCGCUAGGAGUAAGUUAGUCAUCCUUGAAAUACGACCCUUUGCUUACUUGGAGCCUAACUGUAUUAAUAUAGGACAUUGCGUGGUGGGUAGUUUGACUGGGGUGGUCGCCUCCAAAAGCGUAACGGAGGCUUUCAAAGGUACCCUCAUGGCGAUUGGUAACCGCCAGAAGAGUGUAAUGAUAUAAGGGUGCUUGACUGUGAGACCGACGGGUCGAUCAGGUAGGAAACUAGGACAUAGUGAUCCGGUGGUUCCGUAUGGAAGGGCCAUCGCUCAAAGGAUAAAAGGUACUCCGGGGAUAACAGGCUGAUCGCUCCCAAGAGCUCAUAUCGAC
This 1263-nucleotide ribosomal RNA is filed under the name oral metagenome. RNAcentral's name for it is "bacterial LSU rRNA". It matches the Rfam family "Bacterial large subunit ribosomal RNA", at positions 1086 to 2509 of the family's 2925-position model. The record is from RNAcentral.